This 29-nucleotide non-coding RNA is filed under the name Homo sapiens (human). Lineage: Eukaryota; Metazoa; Chordata; Mammalia; Primates; Hominidae. The record is from RNAcentral.
UGGAGGCCCAAACGGGGCAGUGUGCUUGU